UACGAAGGGGGGCUAGCGUUGCUCGGAAUUACUGGGCGUAAAGGGCGCGUAGGCGGACAGUUUAGUCAGAGGUGAAAGCCCAGGGCUCAACCCUGGAAUUGCCUUUGAUACUGACUGUCUUGAGUACGGGAGAGGUGAGUGGAACUCCGAGUGUAGAGGUGAAAUUCGUAGAUAUUCGGAAGAACACCAGUGGCGAAGGCGACUCACUGGCCCGUUACUGACGCUGAGGCGCGAAAGCGUGGGGAGCAAACAGG
RNAcentral lists this ribosomal RNA (254 nucleotides) under uncultured bacterium. RNAcentral's name for it is "partial 16S ribosomal RNA". It matches the Rfam family "Bacterial small subunit ribosomal RNA", at positions 524 to 776 of the family's 1533-position model. The record is from RNAcentral.